RNA transcript from Myotis davidii, 300 nucleotides. It is a transcript of the gene named succinate dehydrogenase [ubiquinone] cytochrome b small subunit, mitochondrial pseudogene, with no coding region annotated. The record is from RefSeq and is a predicted model, not a curated record. The transcript has a single exon. Lineage: Eukaryota; Metazoa; Chordata; Mammalia; Chiroptera; Vespertilionidae.
GGAGGCCGAGCUCUCUUCCUCCAAACCCCAGUGGUCAGACCUGCUCAAAUCUCAGCAUUUCUCCAGGACCAACCCACCCCAGGAUGGUGUGGAAUACAGCACAUUCACCUGUCACCCAGCCGCCAUUCUGGUUCCAAGGCUGCGUCUCUCCACUGGACUGGUGAGAGGGUUGUCAGUGUAUUGCUCCUGGGCCUACUUCCAGCUGCUUAUUUGAAUCCUUCUACUGCGAUGGACUACUCCCUGGCUGCGGUCCUUUCUCUCCAUAGUCACUGGGGCCUUGGACAAGUUGUUACUGACUAU